UAUAAUCAACUCGUGAACAGUGGCAUUUGU
Molecule: non-coding RNA, 30 nt
Filed under: Mus musculus (house mouse)
Lineage: Eukaryota; Metazoa; Chordata; Mammalia; Rodentia; Muridae
Source: RNAcentral